RNAcentral lists this long non-coding RNA (1027 nucleotides) under Triticum aestivum (bread wheat). RNAcentral's name for it is "long non-coding RNA (TAES_LNC020205)". Lineage: Eukaryota; Viridiplantae; Streptophyta; Magnoliopsida; Poales; Poaceae. The record is from RNAcentral.
AACAUGCCGCAGCUUCUGCCCACCACCAUGUAUGAGACAUGGAAAUCUAGGAAGCUGCAGGUUUGUGCGACAGUCAUGCUCACGAUGUGUUUUCUGAAAUGCUUUCAUGUAGAUUGAUGUUUAUAUAUUAUAAGCAUUUGUAAAAUGUUCAAGUACAAUGCAGUAUGCAACAAUAAAUCACAUCUCCCAGCAAUGGCUACGUACCAUUACUCUUAUCACCUUAGACUAAGUUGUAUGAAUUAGAUGGCUGAGCACUUAUGUUUUUGUAGUAGGUUCUGUGUCCUUCGCGCACAUAAAAUUCAGAGAUAAAUUUGGUAGAUGGAUGAUUGACUUUGUUCGUGUGGAUUAUCAGUUUACCAGCAAUGAUGGACUUUGUUUACGUAUAGUACCAAUUUAGCAGCAACUCUGCUGUAACUUUGGCAACACAACCAACAUCAAGUGUCACACCGGUAGUCUAGGGUCAGUUCAAAAUUCGAAUUAGAGAUAGUUUGAUCUACGUGUAGUUCAUCGUCCAUUUCUAAAUCACCAAGGAUUGAUUUUAUUGACACAAGAUUCUCUAUCUGUUGUUUUCUAUUAGGUAAAAACAGUUAUUGGCUCCUCUUGUAAUCUACAAUAAGUAUCCCUUUUGACACUCAUUUAAAUAGAAUUUUUUAUUAUUACUGUGGAAGCAGAAACACACUUGAGAAGGAUUUCAUUUAGUAUGUACUUUGAGUUUUCAUAGUCUAUUAUUGACAUGGAUUUUCCUUCUGCUAGAGAGGCUGGUGCCAAAUCUACAUCAAAACAACGGCAAGUUGACAAAAGAGGAUGCUAGAGUUGUACUGUUACUACUGUUAGAUCUGUUUUUGCACUUCUGAAUUUUAUUUGAGAAUGAAUCUCGAAGGUAUAACUUCUGCAAAGUGCUAGCGCCCACCUACAGAUGACAAGAUUUUCUUCUUCUAAAUGUAAUGAGGCAUGAGCCACAAACUCUUCAUAAAACUUUGAAGCAAAAUAUUGAUCCCCUGCAUGCAUAUAUGAUUGCGAACCAAUU